RNAcentral lists this long non-coding RNA (1239 nucleotides) under Heterocephalus glaber (naked mole-rat). RNAcentral's name for it is "lncRNA (ENSHGLG00100047751.1)". The record is from RNAcentral. Lineage: Eukaryota; Metazoa; Chordata; Mammalia; Rodentia; Bathyergidae.
CGGGGAGGAGGACGGAGGACGGACCGGCCUCCGUCGGAGUGACCGAAAGCCAGGAAAACAAAAGGGGAGAAGAAGAGAAAGGGGGAGAUCUGCGGGGACGCGGGCUGCAGGCAGCCAGGCUGGGUUCCGGAGCCGGUCGGCGCUGCGACUUCGAACCUGGGCUGAGGGAGUUUGCUGAGCCCGAGGCUUUCUUCCCGACAAGCCGAGCCCGGGAGUCAUUGUGCUGCCCAAGUUUCCUCCGCGCCUCCGCCCCCACCCCAACUCCGCUGAGCUGUUAGGUGGGGGAGCUGCUGCCCGUCUUUCUCUCUUGGUUCCUUUUGUAGCACCCCGUUUUAUCUCAGAAGGGCGUGUGUGUGUGUGUGUGUGUGUGUUGGUUUCGUUUAAUUUCAGGAUUUUGUAGGGAAAUGGCAUGGAGGAUAAAGUCCCCCCCCCCUUCUCUCUGAGAGCCAUUUCAACAGUGCCUCAUUCUUGUAUAGUUAGCCUGCAGCUGGGUUUUUGGCAGUGAGUCUAAGAUAAUAGUAAUAUUGUAGUAAUUAUAGGAACUGGUUGAAAUACGUUCAAGCUGAAGGCAAUAUGUGAGUUUAGAGAUUUAUAUUUAAGAUUUGACUUACUGGGAUUUUUACUUAGACUAUGAACAUUUUCAUGGUUGUAAAAAUAGGCCAUUACUAUUUGAAAUGAAAUAUCUGACCGUCGUCACCCUUAAUAUCAUGUUCGUAAAUGGUAAUGAAAAAUCUUCUCUUUGAAAGACAAUUGAACACUGAUCAGAGGACUCAACUUUGAAAACCUGAAAAGUAGGACAGAAUAUGUGAAGAUUAAGAUAUAUAUACAGGUUCUUGGACUACAAUGGAAAGUAGAAAGAGACACUAGAAGUAUUUUAAGUUGUCAUUAGAUUUCUUCGGAGUUACUGUUGCCUUUUGAGCUGGCUUGAGGCUGUCCGUCAGACUGAACCGAGAAGGCAUCACUGGGUGUGAAGAUGUGCUGAGGGAGUUUGGAGUGGUAAAGUAGAGGAGAAUAAUUGAGGUAAUGAGAUUUUUGUCUAGUGCUAGCCCUCAGCAUCUCAGGUGUAGUCUGGAAGUAGUCCGAGUAUUUGUUUGAACUCAUUUAGCUGGGUUCUUUCUAGGCUGGCUUACAGGAAGGAUAACGUGAGCUGGUGAUACUGUUAAGAGAUUGAUUUGAACCGUGAACUUUACAGUUCAACUCGGAAAAUGAUUGUCGAGUACCUGUUAAGUGCCAGCCAUG